UUAAGCAGCCAUAUCACCCUGUAGCCCAAGACUGGUUGCCCACUGAAGCUAAGCAGGGUUGAGCCUGGUCAGUACCUGGAUGGGAGACCUCCUGGGAAAACUAGGUUGCUGCUGGAA
RNAcentral lists this ribosomal RNA (117 nucleotides) under Sinocyclocheilus anshuiensis. The record is from RNAcentral. Lineage: Eukaryota; Metazoa; Chordata; Actinopteri; Cypriniformes; Cyprinidae.